This is a small nuclear RNA of Cervus hanglu yarkandensis (Yarkand deer), 185 nucleotides long. Its record names the gene U2. It matches the Rfam family "U2 spliceosomal RNA". Rfam says of the family: U2 is a small nuclear RNA (snRNA) component of the spliceosome (involved in pre-mRNA splicing). Complementary binding between U2 snRNA (in an area lying towards the 5' end but 3' to hairpin I) and the branchpoint sequence (BPS) of the intron results the bulging out of an unpaired adenosine, on the BPS, which initiates a nucleophilic attack at the intronic 5' splice site, thus starting the first of two transesterification reactions that mediate splicing. Lineage: Eukaryota; Metazoa; Chordata; Mammalia; Artiodactyla; Cervidae. The record is from Ensembl.
AUCGCUUCUCGGCCUUUUGGCUAAGAGCAAGUGUAGUAUCUCUUCUUAUCAGUUUAAUGAAACCAGCUUGAACAUCUGGAAGUUCACAUUUCACGUAUUAGACAGUCUAUAAUUAACUAAGUUAUUAUUAUAUAUUGUCUGUCCUCCCUACUAGAAUGCAAACUCCACAAAGAGAGGGAUCUCUG